RNAcentral lists this signal recognition particle RNA (99 nucleotides) under Bacteroidota bacterium. RNAcentral's name for it is "Bacteroidetes bacterium signal recognition particle sRNA small type". It matches the Rfam family "Bacterial small signal recognition particle RNA". From Rfam's summary of the family: The signal recognition particle (SRP) is a universally conserved ribonucleoprotein involved in the co-translational targeting of proteins to membranes. Archaeal SRP consists of a 7S RNA and homologues of the eukaryotic SRP19 and SRP54 proteins. In most bacteria, the SRP consists of a 4.5S RNA and the Ffh protein (a homologue of the eukaryotic SRP54 protein). The record is from RNAcentral. Lineage: Bacteria; Pseudomonadati; Bacteroidota.
CUCGGCAAGGCUGCGCGACCAGAUCCUCCGAACUCCGUCAGGUCCGAAAGGAAGCAGCGGUAAGGAGUUGAUCGGUGUGAUGCGGUUCUUGCCUUUUUU